GACAAAGGGAUACGACUUAAACAUCAGAAAAAUAUUAUUGAAAGUUCGAGUUACAUGUACUACAUUUAAUUUUUAACAUAAAAGACAAGUUGUGAUCUUGAAAUGCGAAAUUAACCUGAAAGUUUAAAAAAGAUUUGUAAGUUUAAUGUUUGUAUGCUCGAUAACAAAGACAUUUCGGCAGGUGUUUAUCUUGGUUUCUAAACAAAUUUAUUUGUCAUUGUACUGUAUAUGGUGUAAAAAUUUAUAUGAAUACGAGUAAGAUACGAGUAUAAUACAAAACUGUACAUGUUUUUGUUUGUCAUAUUAUUUGAGAGAGAGAGAGAGAGAGA
Molecule: long non-coding RNA, 329 nt
Filed under: Mytilus galloprovincialis (Mediterranean mussel)
Lineage: Eukaryota; Metazoa; Mollusca; Bivalvia; Mytilida; Mytilidae
Source: RNAcentral